UACGUAGGGUGCGAGCGUUGUCCGGAAUUAUUGGGCGUAAAGGGCUCGUAGGCGGUUUGUCACGUCGGGAGUGAAAACUCGGGGCUUAACUCCGAGCCUGCUUCCGAUACGGGCUGACUAGAGGUAUGCAGGGGAGAACGGAAUUCCUGGUGUAGCGGUGAAAUGCGCAGAUAUCAGGAAGAACACCCGUGGCGAAAGCGGCUCUCUGGAACGGUACUGACGCUGAGACGCGAAAGCGUGGGGAGCGAACAGA
This 253-nucleotide ribosomal RNA is filed under the name uncultured bacterium. Its description in RNAcentral is "partial 16S ribosomal RNA". It matches the Rfam family "Bacterial small subunit ribosomal RNA", at positions 524 to 776 of the family's 1533-position model. The record is from RNAcentral.